This 462-nucleotide ribosomal RNA is filed under the name uncultured bacterium. RNAcentral describes it as "partial 16S ribosomal RNA". It matches the Rfam family "Bacterial small subunit ribosomal RNA", at positions 28 to 507 of the family's 1533-position model. The record is from RNAcentral.
GAUGAACGCUGACAGAAUGCUUAACACAUGCAAGUCAUUGGCGAAGCUGCGCUUGCGCAGUCUAGCCAAGGCGGACGGGUGAGUAACGCGUAAGGAACUUGCCCUGCAGACAGGGAUAACAGACGGAAACGACUGAUAACACCUGGUAUUGUCAGGCUGGCGCAUGCCGGCCUGGUGAAAGGAGACGCUGCAGGAGAGCCUUGCGUCCUAUUAGCUAGUUGGUGGGGUAACGGCCCACCAAGGCGAUGAUAGGUAGCCGGCCUGAGAGGGUGAACGGCCACAAGGGGACUGAGAUACGGCCCUUACUCCUACGGGAGGCAGCAGUGGGGAAUAUUGGACAAUGGGGGCAACCCUGAUCUAGCAAUUCUGUGUGCACGAAGAAGGUUUUCGGAUUGUAAAGUGCUUUCAGCAGGGAAGAAGAAAGUGACGGUACCUGCAGAAGAAGCGACGGCUAAAUACGUG